This 255-nucleotide ribosomal RNA is filed under the name uncultured bacterium. RNAcentral describes it as "partial 16S ribosomal RNA". It matches the Rfam family "Bacterial small subunit ribosomal RNA", at positions 524 to 776 of the family's 1533-position model. The record is from RNAcentral.
UACGAAGGGUGCAAGCGUUACUCGGAAUUACUGGGCGUAAAGCGUGCGUAGGUGGUUUGUUAAGUCUGUUGUGAAAGCCCCGGGCUCAACCUGGGAAUGGCAAUGGAUACUGGCAGGCUAGAGUGCGGUAGAAGGGUAGUGGAAUUCCCGGUGUAGCGGUGAAAUGCGUAGAGAUCGGGAGGAACACCAGUGGCGAAGGCGGCUACCUGGACCAGCACUGACACUGAGGCGCGAAAGCGUGGGGAGCGAAACAGG